ACACGACUACAUUAGAUACCCGGGUAGUCCUAGGCGUAAAUGAUGCGAGUUAAGUGGUGGGGCAUCUACGAGAUGGCCCUGUGCUGUAGGGUAGCCGUUAAACUCGCUGCCGUGGGAGUACGGUCGCAAGGCUAGAAACUUAAAGGAAUUGGCGGGGAGCACCACAAGAGGUGGAGGCUGCGGUUCAAUUGGACUCAACGCCGGAAAACUCAUCGGGAGCGACAGCAGUAUGAUUGCCAGGUUGAUGACCUUGCUUGACAAGCUG
Molecule: ribosomal RNA, 265 nt
Filed under: uncultured archaeon
Lineage: Archaea
Description: partial 16S ribosomal RNA
Rfam family: Archaeal small subunit ribosomal RNA
Source: RNAcentral